GACUUUACAACAGCAUCCAUUGACCCCUCCCCCUCACCUAUCUCAUCCCUUACAUGACCAGUGGUAAAAUGACUACUGGGCUAUUGUAAUAGUGACACAGGAGUGUCUAAAAACCAACAGCAGCAGCAGCAGCAACAUCUUAGAAGAAAGGUCCCCAGGGAAUCAAGUGGGAGAAGUAGGAAAAGGCAACCAACGAUGUAGCGGGAGGUGGAGCGUACAGCCCAGAACGUGAGGGGGUGAUGUCAUCUGUCCCCGCCGUCUUGCCAUACCUGAUGCGGAAGCAUGCAGGGAGAGGAUAUGGGCGUCACAGCGGGAGGUAGAGCGGACAUUCCACAGCGUAGGGGGUGACGUCAUCCAGCCCCGCUCCCCCGCCUCACCUGACUGAGAUUGUGCACAUGGAGAGGGCACCGGAGCAAUUAAGAAGGAGGUAUUGAGCAGUCAUAAUUUGCAAAAGAUCCAUCCGGAAGUGAACAAGCCAGAGUCGCGGGCAAAACGCAUCUUCUGCCGCUGCCGCACCACUGCCUCUGGGAACUCACGGGUAACUCUCCUCCACCUGUACCGAACACUGGGCAUACCUCAUCGGCAACUCAGGUCCCUGCUCCCGGAAGUGGAACCUGCCAGGACCCUGAGCAGUCAGCCAGAAGUCGGCUGGGGCGAAUUGGCCACAGCAAGCAUCUUUCUCACUGAAAAUGUGCAUCUUAUUCGUAUACAUAAAACAACUGGAAGUGACAAAACUACUCUGCUAGAUUACACUGAUCAGUUUGAUGAGUAACAUCUGUAUAUUUGUGUGCAAAUAAUUCUGAAUCUGUGUAAGAAGUGCUGCUAUGCAGCGGCUACAGUUUAUUCUCAUAACAAGUUCUAUUGUACUUCAUCUGUUACUUUGCAAGUGUUUUAAAUUAAUUCCUAUAUAAAUUAAAGUCGCAGCCCAAUGUCUCUAAUAUACUUUGAUUGUUUCGCUGCGUUUGUGAUGCAAAUAAGAUGUAAAAUAUGAAGAAAAAUAUGGUAUGCUACAUCUCUUGGAGAUGCUCAGUUGCAU
Long non-coding RNA from Pseudophryne corroboree (corroboree frog), 1036 nucleotides. RefSeq lists it as uncharacterized. NCBI's taxonomy places the organism in Eukaryota, Metazoa, Chordata, Amphibia, Anura, Myobatrachidae. The transcript is spliced from 4 exons. The record is from RefSeq and is a predicted model, not a curated record.